Molecule: ribosomal RNA, 561 nt
Filed under: Triticum aestivum (bread wheat)
Lineage: Eukaryota; Viridiplantae; Streptophyta; Magnoliopsida; Poales; Poaceae
Description: partial small subunit ribosomal RNA
Source: RNAcentral
AUGGCCUUCUUCGUGGCCCCCGGCAGGAACUUCUCCGGCGCCAUGCCGGGCAGUUUCCUGGGCCUCUUCAACGCCUCGACCAACGGCCGCCCCGACAACCGCAUCUUCGUGGCUGAGCUCGACACCUUUGGCAACGGGGAGUUCAAGGACAUAGAUAGCAACCAUGUGGGCAUCGACGUCAACUGGUUAGUCUCCAUUGAAGCCCACACGGCUGGUUUCUAUGAUGACAAGACUGGUAGCUUCACAAACUUAUCUCUGAAUAGUGGGGAUCCGAUGCAACUGUGGAUCGAAUAUGAUGCACAGAUCACACAGAUCGUGUCGACCUUGGCUCCCCUCGGUGCUGCCAAGCCUCGCAGGCCAUUGUUCACCGCCAUCACCAACCUCUCCGAUGUGCUGGAGGACCCGUCUUUUGUUGGCUUCUCCGGCUCAUCUGGCUCACUCAGCACACACUACUCCGUGCUUGGUUGGAGCUUUGGCGUGGAUGGCCCUGCCCCGGCAAUCAACAUCACAAAUUUGCCCAAGUUGUUUCGUGGUCGUCAGGAGGCUCGAUCCAAAGUCUAG